GACGAACGCUGGCGGCGUGCUUAACACAUGCAAGUCGAACGGAAAGGCCCUGCUUUUGUGGGGUGCUCGAGUGGCGAACGGGUGAGUAGCACGUGAGUAACCUGCCCUUGACUUUGGGAUAACUUCAGGAAACUGGGGCUAAUACCGGAUAGGAGCUCCUGCUGCAUGGUGGGGGUUGGAAAGUUUCGGCGGUUGGGGAUGGACUCGCGGCUUAUCAGCUUGUUGGUGGGGUAGUGGCUUACCAAGGCUUUGACGGGUAGCCGGCCUGAGAGGGUGACCGGCCACAUUGGGACUGAGAUACGGCCCAGACUCCUACGGGAGGCAGCAGUGGGGAAUAUUGCACAAUGGGCGGAAGCCUGAUGCAGCAACGCCGCGUGCGGGAUGACGGCCUUCGGGUUGUAAGCCGCUUUCGCCUGCGACGAAGCGUGAGUGACGGUAAUGGGUAAAGAAGCACCGGCUAACUACGUG
Molecule: ribosomal RNA, 468 nt
Filed under: uncultured bacterium
Lineage: Bacteria
Description: partial 16S ribosomal RNA
Rfam family: Bacterial small subunit ribosomal RNA
Source: RNAcentral